Small nucleolar RNA from Sinocyclocheilus grahami, 187 nucleotides. NCBI's taxonomy places the organism in Eukaryota, Metazoa, Chordata, Actinopteri, Cypriniformes, Cyprinidae. The record is from Ensembl.
CCCUUCUUUUAAAAGCACCGUGCUAAAAUCACCAGCUCAAGGCCUUCGGGCCUUGCUCUGGUGUUUAUGCUAGUACUGGUUAAUCUUAAUUAAGGAAGAGCAGAAGCACACGGUCGGAAAUGAGUCUAGGGCGGACCUCUUUCUUAAUGUCCGGUGUCCAAGAUCUCGAGAUUUUUGUGCCAUUAGA